RNAcentral lists this ribosomal RNA (487 nucleotides) under uncultured marine bacterium. Its description in RNAcentral is "bacterial SSU rRNA". It matches the Rfam family "Bacterial small subunit ribosomal RNA", at positions 378 to 881 of the family's 1533-position model. The record is from RNAcentral.
AAAGCCUGAUGCAGCGACGCCGCGUGCGGGAUGAAGGCCUUCGGGUUGUAAACCGCUUUCAGCAGGGACGAGGCGAAAGUGACGGUACCUGGAAAAGAAGCCCCGGCUAACUACGUGCCAGCAGCCGCGGUAAUACGUAGGGGGCAAGCGUUAUCCGGAUUCAUUGGGCGUUAAGCGCUCGUAGGCGGUCUGUUAGGUCUGGAGUUAGAUUCGGGGGCUCAACCCCCGUUCGCUCCCGAUACCGGCAGACUUGAGUUUGGUAGGGGAAGGUGGAAUUCCUAGUGUAGCGGUGGAAUGCGCAGAUAUUAGGAAGAACACCAGGGGACGAAGGCGGCCUUCUGGGCCACAACUGACGCUGAGGAGCGAAAGCUAGGGAAGCAAACAGGAUUAGAUACCCGGUAUCCUAGCCGUAAACCAUGGAACUAGGUGUGGGGCGAAAUAUUUCUUCCGUGCCGCAGCUAAGCAUUAAGUGUCCCGCCUGGGGAGU